AGGGUUUGAUUCUGGCUCAGAUUGAACGCUGGCGGCAUGCCUUACACAUGCAAGUCGAACGGCAGCACGGGGGCAACCCUGGUGGCGAGUGGCGAACGGGUGAGUAAUACAUCGGAACGUGUCCUGUAGUGGGGGAUAGCCCGGCGAAAGCCGGAUUAAUACCGCAUACGCUCUGCGGAGGAAUGCGGGGGCUCCUUCGGGACCUCGCGCUACAGGGGCGGCCGAUGGCAGAUUAGCUAGUUGGUGGGGUAAAGGCCUACCAAGGCGACGAUCCGUAGCUGGUCUGAGAGGACGACCAGCCACACUGGGACUGAGACACGGCCCAGACUCCUACGGGAGGCAGCAGUGGGGAAUUUUGGACAAUGGGCGCAAGCCUGAUCCAGCAAUGCCGCGUGUGUGAAGAAGGCCUUCGGGUUGUAAAGCACUUUUGUCCGGAAAGAAAACCUCAGCCCUAAUACGGCGGGGGGAUGACGGUACCGGAAGAAUAAGCACCGGCUAACUACGUGCCAGCAGCCGCGGUAAUACGUAGGGUGCAAGCGUUAAUCGGAAUUACUGGGCGUAAAGCGUGCGCAGGCGGUCCGCUAAGACAGAUGUGAAAUCCCCGGGCUUAACCUGGGAACUGCAUUUGUGACUGGCGGGCUAGAGUAUGGCAGAGGGGGGUAGAAUUCCACGUGUAGCAGUGAAAUGCGUAGAGAUGUGGAGGAAUACCGAUGGCGAAGGCAGCCCCCUGGGCCAAUACUGACGCUCAUGCACGAAAGCGUGGGGAGCAAACAGGAUUAGAUACCCUGGUAGUCCACGCCCUAAACGAUGUCAACUAGUUGUCGGGCCUUCAUUGGCUUGGUAACGUAGCUAACGCGUGAAAUUGACCGCCUGGGGAGUACGGUCGCAAGAUUAAAACUCAAAGGAAUUGACGGGGACCCGCACAAGCGGUGGAUGAUGUGGAUUAAUUCG
This 951-nucleotide ribosomal RNA is filed under the name uncultured Burkholderia sp. Its description in RNAcentral is "bacterial SSU rRNA". It matches the Rfam family "Bacterial small subunit ribosomal RNA", at positions 8 to 953 of the family's 1533-position model. The record is from RNAcentral. Lineage: Bacteria; Pseudomonadati; Pseudomonadota; Betaproteobacteria; Burkholderiales; Burkholderiaceae.